ACACGACUACAUUAGAUACCCGGUAGUCCCAGCCCUAAACGAUGCGCGUUAGGUGUAUCGGUGACCACGAGUCACCGAGGUGCCGAAGGGAAACCGUGAAACGUGCCGCCUGGGAAGUACGGUCGCAAGGCUGAAACUUAAAGGAAUUGGCGGGGAGCACCACAACGGGUGGAGCCUGCGGUUUAAUUGGACUCAACGCCGGGAAGCUCACCGGAUAAGACAGCGGAAUGAUUGCCGGGCUGAAGACCCUGCAUGACCAGCUG
Molecule: ribosomal RNA, 263 nt
Filed under: uncultured archaeon
Lineage: Archaea
Description: partial 16S ribosomal RNA
Rfam family: Archaeal small subunit ribosomal RNA
Source: RNAcentral